RNAcentral lists this small RNA (53 nucleotides) under Caenorhabditis elegans. Its description in RNAcentral is "Unclassified non-coding RNA T19E7.26". The record is from RNAcentral. Lineage: Eukaryota; Metazoa; Nematoda; Chromadorea; Rhabditida; Rhabditidae.
AUUUUGUGACCGCCGUGUCUAUUUGCCUGAACACAGAUAGACACAGACUUGUG